RNAcentral lists this ribosomal RNA (490 nucleotides) under uncultured bacterium. RNAcentral describes it as "partial 16S ribosomal RNA". It matches the Rfam family "Bacterial small subunit ribosomal RNA", at positions 30 to 507 of the family's 1533-position model. The record is from RNAcentral.
AUUGAACGCUGGCGGCAGGCCUAACACAUGCAAGUCGAACGGCAACAGGAAGAAGCUUGCUUCUUUGCUGACGAGUGGCGGACGGGUGAGUAAUGUCUGGCAAACUGUCUGAUGUAGGGGGAUAACUACUGGAAACGGUAGCUAAUACCGCAUAACGUCGCAAGACCAAAGAGGGGGACCUUCUGGCCUCUUGCCAUCGUAUGUGCCCAGAUGGGAUUAGCUAGUAGGUGGGGUAACGGCUCACCUAGGCGACGAUCCCUAGCUGGUCUGAGAGGAUGAUCAGCCACACUGGAACUGAGACACGGUCCAGACUCCUACGGGAGGCAGCAGUGGGGAAUAUUGGACAAUGGGCGCAAGCCUGAUGCAGCCAUGCCGCGUGUAUGAAGAAGGCCUUCGGGUUGUAAAGUACUUUUGGCGGGGAGGAAGAGAGUAAAGUUAAUACCUUGCCUCAUUGACGUUACCCGAAGAAGAAGCACCGGCUAACUCCGUG